Molecule: small RNA, 104 nt
Filed under: human gut metagenome
Description: DUF3800-I RNA
Rfam family: DUF3800-I RNA
About the family: Actinobacteria, Firmicutes, Fusobacteria, Proteobacteria (1 example), Tenericutes (2 examples). Terminator (Clostridia)
Source: RNAcentral
UAAUAAUGCAGGUAGAGAUACACUGUAUACUCGCGUCACCGAACUAACGUUUAAGCGAUAUGUAAUAUCGUCGCCGCGAGGACGCCUUCGGGCGUCUUUUUUUU